This is a long non-coding RNA of Scylla paramamosain (green mud crab), 1665 nucleotides long. RefSeq lists it as uncharacterized. The transcript is spliced from 3 exons. Lineage: Eukaryota; Metazoa; Arthropoda; Malacostraca; Decapoda; Portunidae. The record is from RefSeq and is a predicted model, not a curated record.
UUUCGCCUUCCUUUUCUGUGCACUGUGUGAAUGAAUAGGGAUUAUAUAUGUGCCUAGGGACGGGGUGUGCCUUGAUCUAUUAUAUUUAUGCCUUUGGAUUGGGAAAAAAAAAAAAAAAUACAGUAAGGGAAGGAAGUAAAUAAUCUGCUGUUGAAAGUCAUCCGAGCUUGAACUAGCAGGGAAAUAUUGUACAUAUGGAAGAGAUGCAGACUGUGGUGAAUGUAAGAAAUGACAGUAAAGCUUGCUAUGUGUUGACAGUCCUGUCUACUUACGGAUGAGGAUGUCGCUCAGAAACAUGAACUACACAAGAGGGACCAGCUAUGCAGAACUACACGAGAGGGACCAGCUACGAGUCUUCUUAGUUUGGUCCGCUGAGAGUCCUUAUGAGGCAACUAGUCAGCUGUAGGUUCUGGAGACACAAUGACCAGCUACAUAUGUCCUUUCUGAAAGAAGUAUGAAGUCAAAACAUACAUACUAAUGUAGCAACUCCUUACAUUUGCCCCAUCAUCUUCCAUAGAUUGAAAUAUCAACAGGAGGAGGACAUGAAGAAUGAACUAAAUAUUAGAAGUAGCAGAGAGAGAGAGAGAGAGAGAGAGAGAGAGAGAGAGAGAGAGAGAGAGAGAGAGAGAGAGAUACUUUCCCUCUGUUCACCUUUAGCAGCACACUGUGAUGUAAUUUUCCAGCAAUGAGAGAGACUUUCCCUCUGUUCACCUUUAGCAGCACACAGUGAUGUAAUCUUCCAGCAAUGAGUGGCACUGGUGACAACUAUGAAUGUCGCCAGAAUGGAACUGUUCCUUGUUCCACUGCAGGUCCUGGGAGGCCAAUGAGUGCUAGCAAGUCAUCCAUUGUGUUGUACUCCUCUCCUCCCUGAAAUACGUAUUGAACAAUAAGCUUCAUACCAACCCAGCAUCAACACCUCUCAUUUACCUAACAACAUUAACAGCAGCUGUGUUGUUGGUCUGUCCUUUCUCUGUCUGAUAUUGAGGUUAGUAAUGUAGCACAGUAAUGGCCAGAAAAUCCGGGAGUAGUGGUGGCUGGCAGGAAUGCCUCCCCCACCAACUCCAUUAUGAUGCAUUGGCAAUAUGCUUUACUGUUGUUUUUAAGAACAUAGCCCAAUUUUUUUUAGCUUGGGAGCAGUGUACUGUAGUUGUUCCUUGCUCAUGUUCUCGGACAACUCUAUCCAGGUAAAGUGAACAUACUGCUUUAUGCUGAUAAGGCUGAGGUGAUACUGGAAGUUGGCAGGCUUCAUUCGAAAAUGUCCACAUGGCUGCCAACAGAAUGACUUGCAUGAUAUUUUCUGCUAAAUGUAUUAUAUAUCAUGAUAUCUUGCAUUGUUUAUAUAAAUAUGAAUUACAAAAUAUUUUCUAUCAUUUCAAUAUAUGUAAAAUGCAUGAAUUCUCUUGUUUUUAGGUUUGUGUUAUUUGCAUGAGUACCAACACAAUAAUGAGAACCGUCUCGCAUGAAGAAACAGAGGAGAGCGUUUGUUAAUAUGUUGGACAGAAGAGUUUUUCUAGAGGACUCUCUGUAGAAAGGGGAUUUGGUAGAUUGAUAAUUAUAAUUUCCAUGACAAUCUCUCUCUCUCUCACACACACACACACACACACACACACACACACACACACACACACACACACACACACACACACACACACACACACACACACA